Long non-coding RNA from Ananas comosus (pineapple), 721 nucleotides. RefSeq lists it as uncharacterized. The record is from RefSeq and is a predicted model, not a curated record. The transcript is spliced from 3 exons. NCBI's taxonomy places the organism in Eukaryota, Viridiplantae, Streptophyta, Magnoliopsida, Poales, Bromeliaceae.
AUUUUUUUCUUAAUGAUAGGUUAUUAUCUUAAUCCGUCAUACCAUCAUCGUUAUAAUCUUGGAUUUGAUGAUGAACUGUUGAAGGCAUUACGAAAUGUUAUCAAUAGAUUGGAGAGGGAUCCAACACAUGCUGCUCUUGCCAUAAGUGAGGAAAAAAUAUUUCGUGAAUCCUCUGGAACUUUUGGUGAAGCGGGUGCAAUUAACGGAAGACACAAUACCGAUCCCACUGAGUGAUGGCUAUAAUAUGGUGGAUCAGCAAAGCAUUUAAAAAAGAUUGUUGUGCGUGUCUUAUCUCAAACGACAACGUCUAGUGGAUGUGAACGCAAUUGGAGCACGUUCGCACUUAUACAUACCAAAGUGCGUAACCGAUUAGCGUACGCUCGAUUAGAGAAGCUAGUUUAUGUCCACUAUAAUAUGAGGCUCAUAUGAGGCUCCGUUUAAGAUGCAUGCAAGAGGAGUAUGAUAAGGAAAAGGAAUUAAAAACUUAUGAUCCCUUGGAUGCAAGUUUUAUCAAUGAUAAAUCAGACUCCGUACUUGAUUGGCUACAAGAUAGAGACAAUCAAGAGGACCCAUUACUCGAUGAGCCUGGAGAUCCACCACGACCAUUCAGAAUAAUUGCUGAUGAAGCAGGAAUUAGUGAUGCUGAAAGAUGGACUGACAAGAACAUAGGAAGGUCUCAAGGUAAUGUGGAAGAACAAACGGCUUUGGACGAAGAAUCCCA